GGGGGAUUGUACACGGUAACAGAUAAGCAAGUCGUACGCUUCUUUUUCCACCGGAGCUUGCUCCACCGGAAAAAGAAGAGUGCCGAACGGGUGAGUAACACGUGGGUAACCUGCCCAUCAGAAGGGGAUAACACUUGGAAACAGGUGCUAAUACCGUAUAACAAUCGAAACCGCAUGGUUUUGAUUUGAAAGGCGCUUUCGGGUGUCGCUGAUGGAUGGACCCGCGGUGCAUUAGCUAGUUGGUGAGGUAACGGCUCACCAAGGCCACGAUGCAUAGCCGACCUGAGAGGGUGAUCGGCCACAUUGGGACUGAGACACGGCCCAAACUCCUACGGGAGGCAGCAGUAGGGAAUCUUCGGCAAUGGACGAAAGUCUGACCGAGCAACGCCGCGUGAGUGAAGAAGGUUUUCGGAUCGUAAAACUCUGUUGUUAGAGAAGAACAAGGAUGAGAGUAACUGUUCAUCCCUUGACGGUAUCUAACCAGAAAGCCACGGCUAACUACGUGCCAGCAGCCGCGGUAAUACGUAGGUGGCAAGCGUUGUCCGGAUUUAUUGGGCGUAAAGCGAGCGCAGGCGGUUUCUUAAGUCUGAUGUGAAAGCCCCCGGCUCAACCGGGGAGGGUCAUUGGAAACUGGGAGACUUGAGUGCAGAAGAGGAGAGUGGAAUUCCAUGUGUAGCGGUGAAAUGCGUAGAUAUAUGGAGGAACACCAGUGGCGAAGGCGGCUCUCUGGUCUGUAACUGACGCUGAGGCUCGAAAGCGUGGGGAGCAAACAGGAUUAGAUACCCUGGUAGUCCACGCCGUAAACGAUGAGUGCUAAGUGUUGGAGGGUUUCCGCCCUUCAGUGCUGCAGCUAACGCAUUAAGCACUCCGCCUGGGGAGUACGACCGCAAGGUUGAAACUCAAAGGAAUUGACGGGGGCCCGCACAAGCGGUGGAGCAUGUGGUUUAAUUCGAAGCAACGCGAAGAACCUUACCAGGUCUUGACAUCCUUUGACCACUCUAGAGAUAGAGCUUCCCCUUCGGGGGCAAAGUGACAGGUGGUGCAUGGUUGUCGUCAGCUCGUGUCGUGAGAUGUUGGGUUAAGUCCCGCAACGAGCGCAACCCUUAUUGUUAGUUGCCAUCAUUCAGUUGGGCACUCUAGCAAGACUGCCGGUGACAAACCGGAGGAAGGUGGGGAUGACGUCAAAUCAUCAUGCCCCUUAUGACCUGGGCUACACACGUGCUACAAUGGGAAGUACAACGAGUCGCGAAGUCGCGAGGCUAAGCUAAUCUCUUAAAGCUUCUCUCAGUUCGGAUUGUAGGCUGCAACUCGCCUACAUGAAGCCGGAAUCGCUAGUAAUCGCGGAUCAGCACGCCGCGGUGAAUACGUUCCCGGGCCUUGUACACACCAGACCCGUGCACACCACGAGAGUUUGUAACACCCGAAGUCGUGAUGAGGUAACCUUAGGAGCCUGCCUAGAUAUGUCGUCAGCCCCCGUAAA
Molecule: ribosomal RNA, 1480 nt
Filed under: Enterococcus durans
Lineage: Bacteria; Bacillati; Bacillota; Bacilli; Lactobacillales; Enterococcaceae
Description: bacterial SSU rRNA
Rfam family: Bacterial small subunit ribosomal RNA
Source: RNAcentral